CAGUAAACUUGGAACCAACUGUGCAAAAGCACAAACAACAGUCAGAGGAUUCCUUGCAGUGAGUCGCGGUUGCAUGCAGGUGUCCCUCUAGUUCCCUAGGGAGUAUCACCACACUUGUCUUCUUUGGCAACUCCGACAUCCAGAAACUGGGUCCUGGAGGCAAUACCUCUCCCUGGGCGAGGGUAACUGACCGCAGGGAGGAGAAGAGGCUGCGAGUUGGGAGGAGAGAGCUGAUCUUCUCAAUACGGCAUCCCGAGGGGAUAAUACCAUUUAAAAAGCUUUUGACACCAUCCACCAUCUCCCGUCUCGAAACCUCCCUAAACAUCACCGGUACUGCUCUCUCCUGGUUGAAAUCGGCAACAGUUCAUCAACAUCAACAACUGCACCUGCUCCCCUGUCCCAAGGCGUCCCCCAGGGUUUGGUGCUUGGUACCUUGGGAACACGUUACCCAAGGGCACUAGGGACUACCUAGGUGAAAGCCCAGACCCUCCUGGGCAGAACUACGAACUGGGUACAAGCAGAAGACUUAAUUCUCCUCUGCCAUAUGAAGGACAACGAUCCAGAGUUGAACCAACAACAGAAAGCCUGUAUCUAGAACCGCCUCCCCUUGCCUCGCCACCUGUGUUUGCCAGAACCAGACAACACGCUGACAGAGAUUUACUCGUUACCAGUCCCUCUGGAAAAGGGUGCAGAGCUCCCAAAGGACCAUCCUCAGCCUGGGCAAGAGACAGUUGUAUUUUGAUGCGCAUUUUGAGCCACGUCCAAAAACACUGUAUUGAACUGAAAAGAGGAUGAUUGUAACCCAUCCUCACAUACACCCACCAUGCAGAGAAUGUGACGAAUAAUGCCUCAGAAUAAGCGAUCAAAAGAAAAGAUAAGAUGGUAGAGCAUUUGCAGAUGGCACAGCUCCAAGCCUUUGAGCAGGAGGUUCAAAGGGGCAGAGGCCAUAGAGCAGCGGUCUCCAACCUUUUUUAUGCCACGGACUGGUUUCAUGUAAGACAAUAUGUUUGCGGAACGGGGGGGGAACAAA
Molecule: long non-coding RNA, 1030 nt
Organism: Cottoperca gobio
Lineage: Eukaryota; Metazoa; Chordata; Actinopteri; Perciformes; Bovichtidae
Exons: 3
Source: RefSeq, a predicted model, not a curated record